GAUGAACGCUAGCGGUAGGCUUAAUACAUGCAAGUCGAACGGUAACAGGUGUAGCAAUACAUGCUGACGAGUGGCAGACGGGUGAGGGAACUCGUACGCAAUCUUCCUCUUUCUGGUGAAUAGCCCUGAGAAAUUAGGAUUAAUACACCAUAGUAUUACGAGAUGGCAUCAUUUUGUAAUUAAAACUCCGGUGGAAAGAGAUGAGCGUGCGCCUGAUUAGAUAGUUGGUGAGGUAACGGCUCACCAAGUCAACGAUCAGUAACUGGUGUGAGA
This 273-nucleotide ribosomal RNA is filed under the name uncultured bacterium. RNAcentral describes it as "partial 16S ribosomal RNA". It matches the Rfam family "Bacterial small subunit ribosomal RNA", at positions 28 to 297 of the family's 1533-position model. The record is from RNAcentral.